This 353-nucleotide ribosomal RNA is filed under the name Staphylococcus aureus. RNAcentral's name for it is "bacterial SSU rRNA". It matches the Rfam family "Bacterial small subunit ribosomal RNA", at positions 958 to 1310 of the family's 1533-position model. The record is from RNAcentral. Lineage: Bacteria; Bacillati; Bacillota; Bacilli; Caryophanales; Staphylococcaceae.
AACGAGAAGAACCUUACCAAAUCUUGACAUCCUUUGACAACUCUAGAGAUAGAGCCUUCCCCUUCGGGGGACAAAGUGACAGGUGGUGCAUGGUUGUCGUCAGCUCGUGUCGUGAGAUGUUGGGUUAAGUCCCGCAACGAGCGCAACCCUUAAGCUUAGUUGCCAUCAUUAAGUUGGGCACUCUAAGUUGACUGCCGGUGACAAACCGGAGGAAGGUGGGGAUGACGUCAAAUCAUCAUGCCCCUUAUGAUUUGGGCUACACACGUGCUACAAUGGACAAUACAAAGGGCAGCGAAACCGCGAGGUCAAGCAAAUCCCAUAAAGUUGUUCUCAGUUCGGAUUGUAGUGUGCAA